Molecule: ribosomal RNA, 1595 nt
Filed under: Escherichia coli
Lineage: Bacteria; Pseudomonadati; Pseudomonadota; Gammaproteobacteria; Enterobacterales; Enterobacteriaceae
Description: partial 23S ribosomal RNA
Rfam family: Bacterial large subunit ribosomal RNA
Source: RNAcentral
GCAUGCUGGAGGUAUCAGAAGUGCGAAUGCUGACAUAAGUAACGAUAAAGCGGGUGAAAAGCCCGCUCGCCGGAAGACCAAGGGUUCCUGUCCAACGUUAAUCGGGGCAGGGUGAGUCGACCCCUAAGGCGAGGCCGAAAGGCGUAGUCGAUGGGAAACAGGUUAAUAUUCCUGUACUUGGUGUUACUGCGAAGGGGGGACGGAGAAGGCUAUGUUGGCCGGGCGACGGUUGUCCCGGUUUAAGCGUGUAGGCUGGUUUUCCAGGCAAAUCCGGAAAACUAAGGCUGAGGCGUGAUGACGAGGCACUACGGUGCUGAAGCAACAAAUGCCCUGCUUCCAGGAAAAGCCUCUAAGCAUCAGGUAACAUCAAAUCGUACCCCAAACCGACACAGGUGGUCAGGUAGAGAAUACCAAGGCGCUUGAGAGAACUCGGGUGAAGGAACUAGGCAAAAUGGUGCCGUAACUUCGGGAGAAGGCACGCUGAUAUGUAGGUGAAGUCCCUCGCGGAUGGAGCUGAAAUCAGUCGAAGAUACCAGCUGGCUGCAACUGUUUAUUAAAAACACAGCACUGUGCAAACACGAAAGUGGACGUAUACGGUGUGACGCCUGCCCGGUGCCGGAAGGUUAAUUGAUGGGGUCAGCGCAAGCGAAGCUCUUGAUCGAAGCCCCGGUAAACGGCGGCCGUAACUAUAACGGUCCUAAGGUAGCGAAAUUCCUUGUCGGGUAAGUUCCGACCUGCACGAAUGGCGUAAUGAUGGCCAGGCUGUCUCCACCCGAGACUCAGUGAAAUUGAACUCGCUGUGAAGAUGCAGUGUACCCGCGGCAAGACGGAAAGACCCCGUGAACCUUUACUAUAGCUUGACACUGAACAUUGAGCCUUGAUGUGUAGGAUAGGUGGGAGGCUUUGAAGUGUGGACGCCAGUCUGCAUGGAGCCGACCUUGAAAUACCACCCUUUAAUGUUUGAUGUUCUAACGUUGACCCGUAAUCCGGGUUGCGGACAGUGUCUGGUGGGUAGUUUGACUGGGGCGGUCUCCUCCUAAAGAGUAACGGAGGAGCACGAAGGUUGGCUAAUCCUGGUCGGACAUCAGGAGGUUAGUGCAAUGGCAUAAGCCAGCUUGACUGCGAGCGUGACGGCGCGAGCAGGUGCGAAAGCAGGUCAUAGUGAUCCGGUGGUUCUGAAUGGAAGGGCCAUCGCUCAACGGAUAAAAGGUACUCCGGGGAUAACAGGCUGAUACCGCCCAAGAGUUCAUAUCGACGGCGGUGUUUGGCACCUCGAUGUCGGCUCAUCACAUCCUGGGGCUGAAGUAGGUCCCAAGGGUAUGGCUGUUCGCCAUUUAAAGUGGUACGCGAGCUGGGUUUAGAACGUCGUGAGACAGUUCGGUCCCUAUCUGCCGUGGGCGCUGGAGAACUGAGGGGGGCUGCUCCUAGUACGAGAGGACCGGAGUGGACGCAUCACUGGUGUUCGGGUUGUCAUGCCAAUGGCACUGCCCGGUAGCUAAAUGCGGAAGAGAUAAGUGCUGAAAGCAUCUAAGCACGAAACUUGCCCCGAGAUGAGUUCUCCCUGACUCCUUGAGAGUCCUGAAGGAACGUUGAAG